UACGAAGGGGGCUAGCGUUGUUCGGAAUUACUGGGCGUAAAGGGUGUGUAGGCUGUUUAGCAAGUCAGGAGUGAAAUCCCCAGGCUCAACCUGGGAAUUGCUUUUGAUACUGCUAGGCUUGAGUACGGAAGAGGUGAGUGGAAUUCCCAGUGUAGAGGUAAAAUUCGUAGAUAUUGGGAGGAACACCAGUGGCGAAGGCGGCUCACUGGUCCGUAACUGACGCUGAGACACGAAAGCGUGGGGAGCAAACAGG
This 253-nucleotide ribosomal RNA is filed under the name uncultured bacterium. RNAcentral's name for it is "partial 16S ribosomal RNA". It matches the Rfam family "Bacterial small subunit ribosomal RNA", at positions 524 to 776 of the family's 1533-position model. The record is from RNAcentral.